This 484-nucleotide ribosomal RNA is filed under the name uncultured bacterium. Its description in RNAcentral is "partial 16S ribosomal RNA". It matches the Rfam family "Bacterial small subunit ribosomal RNA", at positions 28 to 507 of the family's 1533-position model. The record is from RNAcentral.
AUUGAACGCUGGCGGCAUGCUUUACACAUGCAAGUCGAACGGCAGCGCGGGCUUCGGCCUGGCGGCGAGUGGCGAACGGGUGAGUAAUGCAUCGGAACGUGCCCAGUAGUGGGGGAUAGCCCGGCGAAAGCCGGAUUAAUACCGCAUACGACCUGAGGGUGAAAGCGGGGGACCGUAAGGCCUCGCGCUAUUGGAGCGGCCGAUGUCGGAUUAGCUAGUUGGUGGGGUAAAGGCUUACCAAGGCGACGAUCCGUAGCUGGUCUGAGAGGACGACCAGCCACACUGGGACUGAGACACGGCCCAGACUCCUACGGGAGGCAGCAGUGGGGAAUUUUGGACAAUGGGGGCAACCCUGAUCCAGCCAUGCCGCGUGCGGGAAGAAGGCCUUCGGGUUGUAAAGCGCUUUUGUUCGGGAAGAAAACCUGUGGGCUAAUACCCCGGGGGGAUGACGGUACCGGAAGAAUAAGCACCGGCUAACUACGUG